CUUUGCUUCUUGGAACAAUUUAUUUUGAAUACUUGCCCAAUGAGUUAAAAUGCUAAAUAUUUUUUCUUCCUAGGUGACAUCCUAGUCUCCUAUGGUGGGAAGAAGGAAAGAACUUAAUCUUCCCAUUUAUCAGGGAAAAAAAGGAUUAUCUCACACAGAGCGUUGGAAUUACUUCGUGAUGAUUUCAAAGAAAAUUUUCUUCUCUAAACACUCUUAUCCCAAGGGCAUCCUAAAGUUCCUCUGGAAUGCAUUGGGUGGGAGAGAAAGUUCUAUGUCAACUCUUCUGGCAGAGGGAAAAGCUGACCGAGGAAGUCAAAAUGAAAGAAAGAAGCAGCCAGGACUGAGGCUCCCUGAGGUACGUAGCACUUUCUUCCACAGCCACGGAAAUACGCCUUUUACUUUUUCCUGAUUUAGGAUUGUCUAACACUUGGAAGUCUUCCCUUCUCCCUCUUACAAUAAGUGAAAGGUCUGAGAACUGUUGUUGGCCAAGGUUUCCUGAUUUUUGGUUGCAUUUGCAUUCCUAAAAUACCUACUUUUCUCUUUAUUUAUUUUUCUGUCUUGCCUACCUAGAGACAGAAACACCCUCCCUGACAUCAAGAUUUCCA
This is a long non-coding RNA of Pan paniscus (pygmy chimpanzee), 605 nucleotides long. Lineage: Eukaryota; Metazoa; Chordata; Mammalia; Primates; Hominidae. The record is from Ensembl.